GCCGGGCACGGUGGCGCAUGCCUGUAGACCCAGCAACUUGGGUGGCUGAGGUGGGAGAAUUGCUUGCAUCUGGGAGGCAGAAGUUGCAGUGAGCUAAGAUCCUGCCACUGCACUUCGGCCUGGGUGACAGAGCCAGAUCCUGUCUCAA
This is an unclassified non-coding RNA of Pongo abelii (Sumatran orangutan), 148 nucleotides long. It matches the Rfam family "Metazoan signal recognition particle RNA". From Rfam's summary of the family: The signal recognition particle (SRP) is a universally conserved ribonucleoprotein. The record is from Ensembl. Lineage: Eukaryota; Metazoa; Chordata; Mammalia; Primates; Hominidae.